CGGGGUAGAGGAAUUGGUCAACUCAUCAGGCUCAUGACCUGAAGACUGCAGGUUCGAAUCCUGUCCCCGCCUAA
This 74-nucleotide transfer RNA is filed under the name Oryza rufipogon (brownbeard rice). RNAcentral's name for it is "tRNA-phenylmethionine". It matches the Rfam family "tRNA". Rfam says of the family: Transfer RNA (tRNA) molecules are approximately 80 nucleotides in length. Their secondary structure includes four short double-helical elements and three loops (D, anti-codon, and T loops). The record is from RNAcentral. Lineage: Eukaryota; Viridiplantae; Streptophyta; Magnoliopsida; Poales; Poaceae.